UGGCCGCGAGGCGCAUGGAAAAGGCCCGGUGGAGCGAUCCGCCGGGCCUUUUUCUUGUGCGGGGGAGGGCCGAGGUUCAGGCCGCGGCGGCCGCC
RNAcentral lists this transfer RNA (95 nucleotides) under Edaphosphingomonas haloaromaticamans. RNAcentral describes it as "Sphingomonas haloaromaticamans tRNA-Arg". The record is from RNAcentral. Lineage: Bacteria; Pseudomonadati; Pseudomonadota; Alphaproteobacteria; Sphingomonadales; Rhizorhabdaceae.